UAAAGGUAGGGCACUGACGGUCUUUUUCCGGCAACGGGAAAAGCUAAGAGGGAACACGGUUCGCCCACUUCUCGGGUCAAUCCGUGGCUGCCCCCGCAACUGUAAGCGGCGAGCCCACACCGUAAAGCCACUGGAUUUCGAUCCGGGAAGGCGGUGCAAGGGCGCUCGUUCAAGCCGCAAGCCAGGAGACCUGCCGUUUCAGAACAAAACGU
RNAcentral lists this non-coding RNA (212 nucleotides) under Rhizobium sp. Lineage: Bacteria; Pseudomonadati; Pseudomonadota; Alphaproteobacteria; Hyphomicrobiales; Rhizobiaceae. The record is from RNAcentral.